This 110-nucleotide ribosomal RNA is filed under the name uncultured bacterium. Its description in RNAcentral is "partial 16S ribosomal RNA". It matches the Rfam family "Bacterial small subunit ribosomal RNA", at positions 1373 to 1482 of the family's 1533-position model. The record is from RNAcentral.
CUCGGGCCUUGUACACACCGCCCGUCACACCCCGAAAGUGGGGAACAGAUGAAGCCGGUGGCCUAACCGCAAGGGAGGGGCCGUCGAGUCUGGGUUUCAUGAUUGGGGUG